CUACACUUGCGGCACUUUGGUGCUCGCGCGCUCGCCCUGAUGCGCGCGGUUAAACGGGAAACAGGGAGCGAAGUCCGCCCGGACCAGCCAACCUGUGCUGCCCCCGCAACGGUAAGCGACAUGCCGCGCUGCAAUGCGCGGCGACUCCAUUCAGUGCCACUGCGCCGCGAGGCGCGGGAAGGCGGAUGCGAGCGGUCGCCAGCCCGGAUACCGGCCAGAGCGGGGGCGUGCCG
Molecule: non-coding RNA, 233 nt
Filed under: Trinickia caryophylli
Lineage: Bacteria; Pseudomonadati; Pseudomonadota; Betaproteobacteria; Burkholderiales; Burkholderiaceae
Source: RNAcentral